This 457-nucleotide ribosomal RNA is filed under the name Streptococcus mitis. Its description in RNAcentral is "bacterial SSU rRNA". It matches the Rfam family "Bacterial small subunit ribosomal RNA", at positions 28 to 469 of the family's 1533-position model. Lineage: Bacteria; Bacillati; Bacillota; Bacilli; Lactobacillales; Streptococcaceae. The record is from RNAcentral.
GACGAACGCUGGCGGCGUGCCUAAUACAUGCAAGUAGAACGCUGAGGGAGGAGCUUGCUUCUCCGGAUGAGUUGCGAACGGGUGAGUAACGCGUAGGUAACCUGCCUGGUAGCGGGGGAUAACUAUUGGAAACGAUAGCUAAUACCGCAUAACAGUAGAUGUUGCAUGACAUUUGCUUAAAAGGUGCAAUAGCAUCACUACCAGAUGGACCUGCGUUGUAUUAGCUAGUUGGUGGGGUAACGGCUCACCAAGGCGACGAUACAUAGCCGACCUGAGAGGGUGAUCGGCCACACUGGGACUGAGACACGGCCCAGACUCCUACGGGAGGCAGCAGUAGGGAAUCUUCGGCAAUGGACGGAAGUCUGACCGAGCAACGCCGCGUGAGUGAAGAAGGUUUUCGGAUCGUAAAGCUCUGUUGUAAGAGAAAGAAACGAGUGUGAGAAGUGGAAAAGUUCAC